RNAcentral lists this transfer RNA (97 nucleotides) under Cercophora newfieldiana. It matches the Rfam family "tRNA". From Rfam's summary of the family: Transfer RNA (tRNA) molecules are approximately 80 nucleotides in length. Their secondary structure includes four short double-helical elements and three loops (D, anti-codon, and T loops). Lineage: Eukaryota; Fungi; Ascomycota; Sordariomycetes; Sordariales; Lasiosphaeriaceae. The record is from Rfam by way of RNAcentral.
GCCUGGUUAGCUCAGCUGGUUAGAGCGUCGUACUAAUAUCCUCGCUACGAGAUAUCAAGUCAUGCGAAGGUCAACAGUUCAAUCCUGUUACUGGGCA